UGGGGAAUCUUCCGCAAUGGACGAAAGUCUGACGGAGCAACGCCGCGUGAGUGAAGACGGCCUUCGGGUUGUAAAGCUCUGUGAUCCGGGACGAAAGAGCCUGAGGUGAAUAGCCUAAGGAAGUGACGGUACCGGAAAAGCAAGCCACGGCUAACUACGUGCCAGCAGCUGCGGUAAUACGUAGGUGGCAAGCGUUGUCCGGAAUUAUUGGGCGUAAAGCGCGCGCAGGCGGCUUCCUAAGUCCAUCUUAAAAGUGCGGGGCUUAACCCCGUGAUGGGAUGGAAACUGGGAAGCUGGAGUAUCGGAGAGGAAAGUGGAAUUCCUAGUGUAGCGGUGAAAUGCGUAGAGAUUAGGAAGAACACCGGUGGCGAAGGCGACUUUCUGGACGAAAACUGACGCUGAGGCGCGAAAGCGUGGGGAGCAAACAGG
This 429-nucleotide ribosomal RNA is filed under the name Fusobacteriota bacterium. RNAcentral describes it as "Fusobacteria bacterium partial 16S ribosomal RNA". It matches the Rfam family "Bacterial small subunit ribosomal RNA", at positions 355 to 776 of the family's 1533-position model. The record is from RNAcentral. Lineage: Bacteria; Fusobacteriati; Fusobacteriota.